This 102-nucleotide signal recognition particle RNA is filed under the name bovine gut metagenome. RNAcentral describes it as "Bacteroidales small SRP". It matches the Rfam family "Bacteroidales small SRP". Rfam says of the family: The non-coding component of the signal recognition particle in Bacteroides The record is from RNAcentral. RNAcentral also lists the same sequence under 1 other name.
CACCCGGGAAAGUCUUACACGACCAGCUCCCUCUGAAUCCCCCAGGACAGGAAUGUAGCAAGGGUAAGAGGUUGUAGCGGUGCGAUGUAAGGGGCUUUCCCU